GACGAACGCUGGCGGCGUGCUUAACACAUGCAAGUCGAACGGAAAGGCCCCAGCUUGCUGGGGUACUCGAGUGGCGAACGGGUGAGUAACACGUGGGUGAUCUGCCCUGCACUCUGGGAUAAGCCUUGGAAACUGGGUCUAAUACCGGAUAGGACCGUGCUUUAGUGUGUGCGGUGGAAAGUUUUUCGGUGCAGGAUGAGCCCGCGGCCUAUCAGCUUGUUGGUGGGGUAAUGGCCUACCAAGGCGGCGACGGGUAGCCGGCCUGAGAGGGUGUACGGCCACAUUGGGACUGAGAAACGGCCCAGACUCCUACGGGAGGCAGCAGUGGGGAAUAUUGCACAAUGGGCGCAAGCCUGAUGCAGCGACGCCGCGUGGGGGAUGACGGCCUUCGGGUUGUAAACCACUUUCGGCAGGGACGAAGCUUUUGUGACGGUACCUGCAUAAGAAGCACCGGCUAACUACGUG
RNAcentral lists this ribosomal RNA (465 nucleotides) under uncultured bacterium. RNAcentral describes it as "partial 16S ribosomal RNA". It matches the Rfam family "Bacterial small subunit ribosomal RNA", at positions 28 to 507 of the family's 1533-position model. The record is from RNAcentral.